GCGGAUGGAGAGGGAUUCGAACCCCCGGUAUUCCUAUCAAUACUUCGGUUUUCAAGACCGACUCUUUCAACCGCUCAGACAUCCAUCC
RNAcentral lists this transfer RNA (88 nucleotides) under Utricularia reniformis. RNAcentral describes it as "tRNA-Ser". The record is from RNAcentral. Lineage: Eukaryota; Viridiplantae; Streptophyta; Magnoliopsida; Lamiales; Lentibulariaceae.